ACGCCUUAUACAUGCAAGUCGAACGAAGUAGCAAUACUUAGUGGCAGACGGGUGAGUAACAUGUAGGUAUCUUCCCUUUGGUGAGGAAUAACACGAGGAAACUUGUGCUAAUACCUCAUAAGUCUUUACGGAGAAAGCUUUAUGCGCCGAAGGAUGAGCCUGCACUUGAUUAGUUUGUUGGUGGGGUAAUGGCCUACCAAGACUUUGAUCUAUAGCUGAUCUGAGAGGAUGAUCAGCCACAUUGGGACUGAGACACGGCCCAAACUCCUACGGGAGGCAGCAGUAGGGAAUAUUGCACAAUGGAGGAAACUCUGAUGCAGCGAUGCCGCGUGAGUGAAGAAGGCCUUUGGGUUGUAAAGCUCUUUCGUCGGGGAAGAAAAUGACUGUACCCGAAUAAGAAGGUCCGGCUAACUUCGUGCCAGCAGCCGCGGUAAUACGAAGGGACCUAGCGUAGUUCGGAAUUACUGGGCUUAAAGAGUUCGUAGGUGGUUAAAAAAGUUGGUGGUGAAAUCCCAGAGCUUAACUCUGGAACUGCCAUCAAAACUUUUUAGCUAGAGUAUGAUAGAGGAAAGCAGAAUUUCUAGUGUAGAGGUGAAAUUCGUAGAUAUUAGAAAGAAUACCAAUUGCGAAGGCAGCUUUCUGGAUCAUUACUGACGCUGAGGAACGAAAGCAUGGGUAGCGAAGAGGAUUAGAUACCCUCGUAGUCCAUGCCGUAAACGAUGUGUGUUAGACGUUGGAAAUUUAUUUUCAGUGUCGCAGCGAAAGCAUUAAACACACCGCCUGGGGA
This 787-nucleotide ribosomal RNA is filed under the name uncultured Pelagibacteraceae bacterium. RNAcentral's name for it is "bacterial SSU rRNA". It matches the Rfam family "Bacterial small subunit ribosomal RNA", at positions 44 to 879 of the family's 1533-position model. Lineage: Bacteria; Pseudomonadati; Pseudomonadota; Alphaproteobacteria; Candidatus Pelagibacterales; Candidatus Pelagibacteraceae. The record is from RNAcentral.